CCUACGGGUGGCAGCAGUGGGGAAUAUUGCACAAUGGGGGAAACCCUGAUCCAGCGACGCCGCGUGAGCGAUGAAGUAUUUCGGUAUGUAAAGCUCUAUCAGCAGGGAAGAAAAUGACGGUACCCGACUAAGAAGCCCCGGCUAACUACGUGCCAGCAGCCGCGGUAAUACGUAGGGGGCAAGCGUUAUCCGGAUUUACUGGGUGUAAAGGGGGCGUAGACGGUCCUGCAAGUCAGAUGGGAAAGCCCGGGGCUCAAACCCGGGACUGCAUUUGGAACUGUAAGGCUUGAGUGUAGGAGAGGUAAGCGGAAUGCCUGGUGUAGCGGGGAAAUGCGUAGAUAUUAGGGGGAAAACCAGUGGCGAAGGCGGACUACCGG
This 377-nucleotide ribosomal RNA is filed under the name uncultured bacterium. RNAcentral's name for it is "partial 16S ribosomal RNA". It matches the Rfam family "Bacterial small subunit ribosomal RNA", at positions 338 to 732 of the family's 1533-position model. The record is from RNAcentral.